RNAcentral lists this ribosomal RNA (1647 nucleotides) under Triticum aestivum (bread wheat). Its description in RNAcentral is "partial small subunit ribosomal RNA". Lineage: Eukaryota; Viridiplantae; Streptophyta; Magnoliopsida; Poales; Poaceae. The record is from RNAcentral.
AAUGCUGAACAGGGAGACAAAAAUACCGAGGCAUACUCCACACCGAAACCUCCUGAUGAAACGAUGAAGUUUGAUACUUUUGAGGAAGCUUAUGAACACUACAGGCAAUAUGCACAGAGAUAUGGUUUUGGAAUGAGACUGGAAUACAGAAAAACAAUCAAAGACAAUACUGUAAGCAGAGUCCUCCUGGUUUGUGGGAAAUACGACAAGCCAAAAACAAACAACAAAGAGACAGAGGAUGUGCAGGUCCCAAAAGGCAUCGUGAAGAAGAGGAAAAGAGGGAAGGUUGUGAGGUCGGGAUGUCCGGCCCACCUUUACAUCACCCACACGGAUGCGUGGUGGAGAGUCAAACGCUGCAACGACGACCACAACCACCCUCUAAUAAGAAAGCCGUCCUUGACAAAGUUCCUAUCAUCACAUAGGAACAUUCCAAAAGAUGAGCAGGACUUCUUGAAGAUAUUGCACGGAUGCAACAUAGAGACAGCCAGACAGAUGCAACUAAUGGAAUGGUUCUACGGGAAUCCUAAAGAUGUACCAUACACAACAAAGGACACCGCAAACCAGCGAGCUAAAUUCCGGAUGGAGUACCGCCAUGCUGAUGUGGGGAGCACAAUCUCGUACUUCCAAGAUGUUUAUAUUAUGAAUGCAGUUGAGGAGUUUGAGCACAAGUGGUGGGUGAUGAUGGAAGCGUAUGGCCAGACUGACAAUGGACAUUUCCAUUGGCUGUGGGAGAACAGGAAGUGUUGGGUCCCGGUAUACUAUAUGCAUGACUUUUUCCCGUUCUUGCAGACCACGGCAAGAAGCGAUGGAUUUAACUCUGUGCUCAAGAAGUAUGUCAACCCAAACAACUCACUGGUCGAAUUCGCACAACAGUACACUGCGAUACAGGAUAAGGUGAUGGCUAGCGUGUCAAAAGAGCAAUUGGAAACAAUGCACAAAGAAACCGAAAUGUACUCGAUGAACCCGCUGGAGAUGCAGGUGCGGGGGCUAUACACACAUAACUUGUUUUGCAAGUUCCAGGUGGAGAUGAAGGUGAAAUCAGCAUACAGAUGCGACGCAUUGGAUGAUGGUACUUUCAAGGUCAGCUCAGUACGCGGGAUAAUACCGAAAUAUGGAGACAGGGACUACCAUGUGCAAGCAAACAUGGUUGAAGAGACAUACUCGUGUAGUUGCUGCAAGUUUGAUCGUGACGGGCUACUGUGCACGCACGUACUACGAGUUAUGGACCAAAUUGGGGUAUACGAGAUACCUAAGUACAUCCUAAAGAGGUGGACCUGGGAUCCAGAGGAGGAUCUUAUUCAACCUGAUUUCGAACAGCCGAUAGUUAAGAAGUCGAUGCCAGAGGAGGGGAAAAGUGUCAUGCGAUACACAUCAAUUCUUAAAGAAUUUAAGGCAUUGGCCAAAGAUGCUUGCCUAAUAGAUGACGGGACCAGAUUGGCAAGAAAACACCUGUAUAAUUUUCUUUCUGUCGCACCUAACAGAUGACGGGAACGGAUGACGGGAACAGAUGACGGGACCAGAUCGGCCAAAGAUGCUUGCCUUAAAGAAAGCAAUCAGGUUUUGAGAUUGCAAAACCAAAGACAAAAAGGAAAUGUGGUGUGUGCGGGAGUCUGGAACAUGACAAACGCACAUGCAAAUCUCCCCUAG